Molecule: long non-coding RNA, 427 nt
Filed under: Ricinus communis (castor bean)
Lineage: Eukaryota; Viridiplantae; Streptophyta; Magnoliopsida; Malpighiales; Euphorbiaceae
Description: long non-coding RNA (RCOM_LNC003592)
Source: RNAcentral
UUCAGACAAAAAAACUAAAAUAACCCAGCAAGAACUAUGAAGUAACUCCGCCAUGCAACUUAACAAAAUUAAGUAUUAGCUACUAAGCCAAUCAGUCUAUUUGGAUAGUGGCGGCAUUUCUUUCUGACGGCUGAUUGAGAUCAUAAUAAAGAUGCAAACACAGACAAUCACAUCAACAUCAAUAAACACCUAGCAAUACUGAUCAAAAUAACAAUAACAAAGCACUUUAAGCCUAAUAUCACUUGUCAAGCAUAUGCGCCUAUGUCCGAUGAUUACCCCAUCGCCUACGAGGUUCUAACUCAAUCUAGUUAUGCAGUUAAAAUCUACUUUUUCACAUAAUGCCUGCGGGCAUAUCAUCUUAAUCACUAAGUUUGGUCAUUCUCAUUCGCAUUUAAACGCAUGCAUAUUGCAAAGGAGAGAGGAGAAA